This 75-nucleotide antisense RNA is filed under the name Nocardia tenerifensis. RNAcentral's name for it is "ASpks TB sRNA". It matches the Rfam family "ASpks TB sRNA". The record is from RNAcentral. Lineage: Bacteria; Bacillati; Actinomycetota; Actinomycetes; Mycobacteriales; Nocardiaceae.
CUUCGCCGAGCCGAGCCACAGCGGCUGUCCGUCCGGUCGCCCCUGACCGUAGGUGGCGAGGAUCGCGCGCGCCUC